CCUACGGGUGGCAGCAGUGAGGAAUAUUGGUCAAUGGGCGCGAGCCUGAACCAGCCAAGUCGCGUGAGGGAAGACGGCCCUACGGGUUGUAAACCUCUUUUGCCGGGGCGCAACGGGCGCCACGUGUGGCGCCACUGAGAGUACCCGGAGAAAAAGCAUCGGCUAACUCCGUGCCAGCAGCCGCGGUAAUACGGAGGAUGCGAGGGUUAUCCGGAUUUAUUGGGUUUCAAGGGUGCGUAGGCGGAGCGUUAAGUCAGUGGUAAAAUUGAGGGGAUCAACACCUUCCCGCCAUUGAAACUGGCGCUCUUGAGUGGAAGAGAAGUAUGCGGAAUGCGUGGUGUAGCGGUGAAAUGCAUAGAUAUCGCGCAGAACCCCGAUUGCGAAGGCAGCAUGCCGGCUUCCUACUGACGCUGAAGCACGAAAGCGUGGGGAUCGAACAGGAUUAGAUACCCGAGUAGUC
RNAcentral lists this ribosomal RNA (460 nucleotides) under uncultured bacterium. RNAcentral describes it as "partial 16S ribosomal RNA". It matches the Rfam family "Bacterial small subunit ribosomal RNA", at positions 338 to 795 of the family's 1533-position model. The record is from RNAcentral.